This 465-nucleotide ribosomal RNA is filed under the name uncultured bacterium. RNAcentral's name for it is "partial 16S ribosomal RNA". It matches the Rfam family "Bacterial small subunit ribosomal RNA", at positions 339 to 795 of the family's 1533-position model. The record is from RNAcentral.
CUACGGGAUGCUGCAGUGGGGAAUAUUGCACAAUGGGCGCAAGCCUGAUGCAGCCAUGCCGCGUGUAUGAAGAAGGCCUUCGGGUUGUAAAGUACUUUCAGCGGGGAGGAAGGGAGUAAAGUUAAUACCUUUGCUCAUUGACGUUACCCGCAGAAGAAGCACCGGCUAACUCCGUGCCAGCAGCCGCGGUAAUACGGGAGGGUGCAAGCGUUAAUCGGAAUUACUGGGCGUAAAGCGCACGCAGGCGGUUUGUUAAGUCAGAUGUGAAAUCCCCGGGCUCAACCUGGGGACUGCAUCUGAUACUGGCAAGCUUGAGUCUCGUAGAGGGGGGUAGAAUUCCAGGUGUAGCGGUGAAAUGCGUAGAGAUCUGGAGGAAUACCGGUGGCGAAGGCGGCCCCCUGGACGAAGACUGACGCUCAGGUGCGAAAGCGUGGGGAGCAAACAGGAUUAGAUACCCGAGUAGUC